AUUGAACGCUGGCGGCAGGCCUAACACAUGCAAGUCGAACGAGUGGCGGACGGGUGAGUAAUGUCUGGGAAACUGCCUGAUGGAGGGGGAUAACUACUGGAAACGGUAGCUAAUACCGCAUACCAUCGGAUUUGCCCAGAUGGGAUUAGCUGGUUGGUGGGGUAACGGCUCACCUAGGCGACGAUCCCUAGCUGGUCUGAGAGGCUGACCAGCCACACGGGAACGGAGAAACGGUCCAGACUCCUACGGGAGGCAGCAGUGGGGAAUAGUGCACAAUGGGCGCAAGCUGGAUGCAGCAAUGCCGCGUGUAUGAAGAAGGCCUUCGGGUUGUAAAGUACUUUCAGCGGGGAGGCGGUACUCGAAGAAGAAGCACCGGCUAACUCCGUGCCAGCAGCCGCGGUAAUUC
RNAcentral lists this ribosomal RNA (406 nucleotides) under uncultured bacterium. RNAcentral describes it as "partial 16S ribosomal RNA". It matches the Rfam family "Bacterial small subunit ribosomal RNA", at positions 30 to 526 of the family's 1533-position model. The record is from RNAcentral.